Macadamia integrifolia is the source of this 1268-nucleotide long non-coding RNA. RefSeq lists it as uncharacterized. The record is from RefSeq and is a predicted model, not a curated record. The transcript is spliced from 2 exons. Lineage: Eukaryota; Viridiplantae; Streptophyta; Magnoliopsida; Proteales; Proteaceae.
UUCAAGAAAUUGUAGUAUCUAUUAUAAAGAGAGUUCCGAACAAAGGCAGGAGAUGAGAUUGGUUUGGCAUCCUAUUCGCCAUCAGAUAAUAUCAUUUUUGCAUCAAAGGCGGGAGAUGAGAUUCACUACAUCAAAUGGUGAACACCAGGGAUACAUGACUCUUAAGCACAUUUGCAUGCACUUUCUUUGUUGCAAGUAUGAAGCAGCCUUGAGCAAAGUUACGUGCAAAACUACACAGAGCUUUAAUCAUCUUCACCAAAUCAGGACCUUCCCUCCCAACCCAUACAAGAAAUGAAACCCAAAUGGCAUGAACAGCUCCAACACCGAUGGUAUCCCAAGCCAUGGGAAAGCCUUAUCCAGGAUCCGGCUCGUCUUCGCGAGCCCUCGUGUGGCACGGGAAACUCCACUGACCUCAACGGAGAACACUUCCUUGUUGUUCCAAAUGCUGAGCACAGCCCAAGACUCAGGUGGGUAUGAGAGGAAAUGGUCCACAUUGGGAGGGGACCGCGAUGAAGGUGUCGAGAUUAAGACGGUUGUAGAGGAUGGCAUCGAUGUCUCUAGGGAAGAACUCGGUGGUGGAGAAUCGGCGGCGAUAGAGUGAUUCGGCUUUGGCACCUUCAUCGCUUUCAAUCGUGUAAUAUUCUCUUGGAUCUGAGGAUCUGGAUCGGGUUACGUCACCACUACAGGGAAGGUGUUUGGGCUUGGUGGUGACUGUACUUAUUGCGAUAUAUUGACUGAUAGUGAAUCUGGUGAAGAUGCAACUGAUGUAGUGUGGUCAUAUGAUCCCAUCCUCGGACAUUGGGAUCGGCGGGCAUCCAUGCUAGUGAAGUGAUUCUGAUACAGAAUCUGACUCUAGUUUGGAUUUCAUGAUGGUCGGAGAUGAUUGUGAAAUCUUCUUUACAUGUAUGUUGGAACCUCAAUCCAGUUUACAGAAAGAUGCUAUUCUCGAUCCACCACCAUCACCGCGAUGUGCUUCUUAAAAAAGACGAGAAGAAAUAAUGGCAUUUAUCAUGGUCUCAAUUAAGUUGCAUGUGUUGUUCUAUGGGUUGUCAAUAGUGCUGGUCUUGGAGAGUGGUGGGUGUCAAAGACUAUUGAGUACUAGAAUGGCCCAACGAUAGUCGUUUGAGAGGAGGUUAGUGUUGAACAAUGGGGUCGUAUUCAAGCUGGACAAGGAGGCAAGGAUAUGGAAAAUGUCGGCAGCGGCAUCAGUUGAUUGUUCGUACUUUUAUGUUGGAUUUUACAAUGAUCGGAAUUGGAGAUGAACUUUA